CAGAAAGUUAGUUCACACCUCGGAUUUUGAUGCCAACACAGACGUUAGUCUCAUUAGUUUUCAUUGCAGCCUCGUUAAAAUUAAUGUAUUUAACCUUUAUUUAACUAGGCAAGUCAGUUAUGAACAAACUCUUAUUUACAAUGAUGGCCUACCCCGGACGACACUGGGACAAUUGUGCACGACCCAAUGGGACUCCCAAUCACGGCCGGAUGUGAUACAGCCUGGAUUCGAACCGGGGACUGUUGUGACGCGUCUUGCACUGAUAUGCAGUGCCUUAUUAGACCGCUGCGCCACUCGGGAGUUUGAAUGCCGCGGUUGCCUAAAAUGUGUCCGGAUUGGGGUUCGUCACCGUUAGGUGGUUGUGGUGUACUGUAGGCUCCAUUACCGUUUACAUACUAUUAGUUCAUUUUAGAAUACUGUAAACUAACAGUAUCCUUUCAGUUGAGCGUACUAUAGCUGUUCGCCUGUCUACUGCCCUUCAUUCCAAAACCUGAAGCCCAGGAAAGACCAGGAAAAAGUGUUGGCUUAAGGCUCAGUGGGUGACCGGUAACAAUGAUUCAACCAAGCUGUUCCAGGCCUGGAGUGGCACGCUGGAACUUCCAGAGGCUUGUAGACCUGAAGCAGUGUGAUGUGAUCCAGAUCUGACAUCCCUAUUAGCUCAACCACAGUCCUCACAGCUGAAGUCGUCUGCCCCUGCACCUGCUACACCAGCCACGACAGGUGAUACAGAUCUGCCACCCCCAGCAGUUCAGCUGCAGUCACAGCAGUCCUCUGCUGUGGUAUUUCAUUUACCGGCUGCACCAGUUCCUACUACACUGGCCAUGAAGGGAGAUACUAUUGAGGAGACCCAGAUGGAUACAGAUCUGCCAUGCACUCCACCCAGUGCCUGACAGACUCAUCUCUGAGAAAGCAGAGAUGGGUGGCUGACAAGGAAAAAUAAAACACAACACACACUCUCUCUCUCUGUCAUACACACUCACACACGUUAUCCCCAGUGUAAAUGAGUUGUAUUUACUUGUUUAUUUUAUGUUUGCUCAAUUUGAUUUUAGGAUUUGAGAUAUCUAUUCCUACAUAUCCAUUCUCAAUAUCUACAUAAUUACUCUAAAUAUCUAUCAAAUCAAAGUGUUAUUGAUAUUGUAAAAGACUUGCUUAAUUUGUAUAGUUUGAGGAAAUUCUGUGUGCUUUUUAAAAACAUGCCUCCCUCUCACACACACAUUAGACCCAAUGUAAAUACAUUGUUUAUUUUAUGUAUGCUCCAUUUUGUUUGAGGAUUGUCAAAUCAAAGUUUUUUUUGUCACGUGUG
Molecule: long non-coding RNA, 1303 nt
Organism: Oncorhynchus tshawytscha (Chinook salmon)
Lineage: Eukaryota; Metazoa; Chordata; Actinopteri; Salmoniformes; Salmonidae
Source: Ensembl